AAGUCGUAACAAGGUUUCCGUAGGUGAACCUGCGGAAGGAUCAUUAAAAAAAAAUUUAAUGAAUGGUUGGAGGGGAACAUUUUUUGUUCCCCUUUGGCUUUAUUCAACCAACCCGCUCUUGUAUUUUGUAUCAAACAAAAAAUUUCUUUAAAACUAAUAAAAAUAGUAAUGUAAAAAAAAACUUUCAACAACGGAUCUCUUGGCUCUC
Molecule: unclassified non-coding RNA, 208 nt
Filed under: Paraglomus occultum
Lineage: Eukaryota; Fungi; Glomeromycota; Glomeromycetes; Paraglomerales; Paraglomeraceae
Description: partial internal transcribed spacer region
Rfam family: Eukaryotic small subunit ribosomal RNA (bases 1-46)
Source: RNAcentral